ACAGUUCGUACUGAAUCAGGGGCUAUAUGAUGUCGGUAUCAAAACUACUGUUGGUGAAAAGAUCCAUUCCCACUAUUCAGGACCCUCUCCCAAGCAUGAAACGACAGAUGAGGUGCUUUUCAACCCCAACCCCAACAGUGGCUAUGUGUUGUCCCUGACCCAGCACCUUUUACUGAAGAGCUGCAGAAGAUCACCAUUCCAGAGGAUCUUAGCGCUGAGCCAGUCAGAGCUCAGGUUGUUGCAACUGUUAUUAUCGGACUAUUUCUACUACAGUUCAUAUCACUACUGAACAGUAGGUUCUGUCCGAGGUUUCUGCCUGGUAAAAGGAAGUUUUUCCUCGCCACUGUGACACCAAAUGCUUGCUCUUGGGGGAAUUGUUGGGUCUCUUUAAAUAAAAUUGAAUUGAACACUUAUAUGCUUCUGUUGCCAAUUGUUUCUCUGCUGUGGCCUUCACAUGUCUUGGUGUUGUAAAACAGGAAUUCAACUUUGGGCGGCAUCCACUCACAAUGUCCACAUGUGCACCUGUAGUAACAUUAAACAAAAAUCAACAUGACAAAAUCAAAUGAAGCAUGAAACAGGAAAAG
Molecule: long non-coding RNA, 584 nt
Organism: Perca fluviatilis (European perch)
Lineage: Eukaryota; Metazoa; Chordata; Actinopteri; Perciformes; Percidae
Exons: 3
Source: RefSeq, a predicted model, not a curated record